GUGCUCGCUUCGGCAGCACAUAUACUAAAACUGGAAAGAUACAGAGAAGAUUAGCAUGGCCCCUGCGUGAGGAUGACAAGCAAAUUCAUGAAGCGUUCCAUAAAAAA
This is a small nuclear RNA of Cricetulus griseus (Chinese hamster), 107 nucleotides long. The record is from Ensembl. Lineage: Eukaryota; Metazoa; Chordata; Mammalia; Rodentia; Cricetidae.